AACGAACGCUGGCGGCGUGGAUAAGACAUGCAAGUCGAGCGCUCAUUCGGUUGCAGCAAUGUAGCCGAGUGGGAGCGGCGCAAGGGUGCGUAACACGUGGGUAAUUUGCCAAGAAGUUUGGGAUAACUCGCUGAAAGGCGAGCUAAUACCGGAUGUGAUAUUUGGGAGGCAUCUUCUAAAUAUUAAAGUUGGGGACCGUAAGGCCUGACGUUUCUUGAUAAGCCCGCGGCCUAUCAGCUAGUUGGUGAGGUAACGGCUCACCAAGGCUAAGACGGGUAGCUGGUCUGAGAGGACGACCAGCCACACUGGAACUGAGACACGGUCCAGACACCUACGGGUGGCAGCAGUCGAGAAUUUUUCACAAUGGGCGCAAGCCUGAUGGAGCGACGCCGCGUGGGGGAUGAAGGGCUUCGGCCCGUAAACCCCUGUCAUUUGCGAACAAACCUCGCUAUUUAAAAGAUGGCGAGCUGAUUGUAGCGAAAGAGGAAGGGACGGCUAACU
RNAcentral lists this ribosomal RNA (501 nucleotides) under uncultured bacterium. RNAcentral describes it as "bacterial SSU rRNA". It matches the Rfam family "Bacterial small subunit ribosomal RNA", at positions 29 to 502 of the family's 1533-position model. The record is from RNAcentral.